This 7686-nucleotide long non-coding RNA is filed under the name Taeniopygia guttata (zebra finch). RNAcentral's name for it is "lncRNA (ENSTGUG00000029259.1)". The record is from RNAcentral. Lineage: Eukaryota; Metazoa; Chordata; Aves; Passeriformes; Estrildidae.
UUUAGAGAAUGUUUCUUACAUGUUUAAUGCUCUCAGAAGAACGUGUCUGAGCCAUCCACAAUUUCAUUGCACACCCUGUGACUGUCCCCAGUGGGCCAUGUAGCUCAGGGGGGCAGUCAGACCACUCUGCGUUACUUUGACACUGGUUUUUGUUCCUCUCAAGUUAUUUCCUGCUGACUUAACAGCUCUUGUGAUUCCUGCCUGUAUCUGUGGAAAAACCAGCUGCUGAUUCAGCUUUGGCUCUCUCAGGAAGGGGAACCUGAGUUUGGGUUUUGAGGAGGCAGGCCAGCAUCCAGGAGCCUUCGCCUGUUCCCAGGGGAACCCCAGAGCCAGGAAUGAAGAUGAAGCACAAGUUUUGGUUUCAAUUCACUUUUUAAAACUAGUGCCUUUUCAAAAACCAGUUUCCAUAGUGACAGGGAACUGUAGCACCAUUGUGAAGGUCCAAAAAGCCCUGGCUGAGUAUUAGCCAGAAAUUCAGCAGUGUGACCAGCUCCUGAGCCACCUUCCCCAGCCCCUGCUGUGCUCACAGCAGGGCUCUGCUUCAAACACCUUCCUGCCCACCAGUCACACUUUUAGCUGCCUGUGGGCUGUGCUACUCCUGAGCACUAGGGCUUAAUCACAGGUAAAAUUAUGUUUGUCAAAAAAGGAAUAUGCUUUGGCUGCAUUUAGCCCUUUCAUAUAAAGGGAAAAGCUAGAUUUGAAGACAGCUUUCACCCAUUGUUUCCUUUUUUUUGCAGAAUGGUACAGAAACCAUGAAAUGCGCUCACAGUCAUCCAUUGAGUCAGCAGAGGAGCCGAGCUGGAAGCCCAGAUCCUAUUUAAUUCUUAUUUUUUAGAACAUGCUGCCUCUCGCCUUCCCUUUUGCUAUCUGUCUGUGGGGAUACUUCUAUCCAUGGUAUAAUCCAGACCUCCCAAAAGGACCUAGGAACUCUCACACAAUCACAUUGUUGUCCUGGUCCUCACCACAACACACAAGAGGCGUGCCAGAGAGAACAUCCUCCCUGCUGGGCUCAGUGCCAGCUGGUGGAGGUGAUGGACAUCACUGCUUUGCCCUCCUCCAGGCAGCUCCUUUGCCCUCAUCCUUUGCUGUCUGUUGGAUUAGGUUGCAGUCUGUAGUAUGCAAAGAAACACAACCACAACACUCUUACAAGUGAAGUCUCAGGUAAAGUUACAGGCACCUGUCCAGUGGUUGUGUUACCUGUGGCUUUUGGGUGAUGUGCGUUAUGUGUGUGGAGGAGGCAGAGAAAAAUGUGGUGCUGCUAUUUGUACAAACCUCAGCAAGCCUUUCAGUAGGUCUGCACUCAACGCCUUUCCUCAGGAAUAGCUGGGACUGUGGGGGACUGUGGGCUUCAGUGAGGGUGUCUGUGGCCUGGGUGCCACCCAGAGUGCAGAGCCAGCCUGCAGGGCACGGUGAAGAUGCCUGCCCAAGGGACACAGGGAUGUAACAGCCCCAGCACGAACCACUGUGCAUGUGGCAAUUCCAAAACAGAACCCAGGCACUGAAGGCAGGGCACCAGCCUGACUCAAAGCAUGCACCAGACACCUCCUCCCUUUAUCCCCUAUUAUCCCUUUCAGUUUUAUGAUAAACUGUAAUUUUUCUCAAACAUUUAACAAUCAUUAUUCCCUUCCUACUCCUCCUAUUUUUGCCUGCGUAUCCAUGCGACACGUUUGUAGUUGAGAUCACAUGCAAGAAAACAGAGUGAAAAUGGCAACUAACGCAGUUUUUGUGAGAGAAGAAUGUUUUGCAUGUUGCUUGCUGUUGAACCAUUGGAAAUGACAUGCCAAACAAGAAAUUGUCCUUCUGGUGCAAGACCUUAACUCAAAUGAAAAAGGCCAAGUUCUGCAGGAAAGAAAAAAUAAAGAGAGGCAUAUUUGGACCAGUUUUUAUGCCAGUACUUUCAAUGUGAGGCUAGAUACACCAAGCUAAGGGUUUGUCUAUGCUAAGGCUGCCAGUGGAGCUCAGAAGAAGCCAAGAGGCCAGACAUUUUGCUUUCUAUUUCCCAGCUUCCAGCUACCAGCAGCUCAGGGAAUUCAUCAGACAGAGGUAAACCCAUGUCUAUAUUGCCAGGACAAGCUGAAUAAAGUAAGUACUACGUAUGUCUUGAAAACUGAUCAUCAGGAUUCACCAAAACUUGAGAAGUGCACCACUCUGACUGUCUUGAUAUUGCAACUGAAGGCACUGUUUUAAAGAAAUACUUCCUGCAGGAUACAAAUUUUUCUCUUGCUUCCUCGAGACCUUCAAGUGACCCCACUAAAUUGUUAAAAUUCCAUUAGAAAGUGGCUGCUGGGAACAUGUGCAAUAAAUAGCUGCUAAGAUCAAUGUCAGUCUUACUGAUUUAAAAUCAAUGUAUUGCUUGCUGACGGUGCUGGCAGUGUUUUCCUCUGGGAAAUGUAACAGUGGUUGGCUUUAAACAAACACAGUGGUAAAAAACAUUAUCUGAACUAAUUAGUGACUCAGACUCAUUUUAGAGUAACCCAGAAAAUGCCUGUUGCCCACAGACAAAACUUGGAAGUGAUCAGUGACUUUGGAUACUGCCAUUUACAGUGGGACACUGGACAGUAUCCUGGAACAGAGCAGAACAACUGAAAAUGCUCUCUGAAAAUUAGAUGCUUAGGGUAAGUAGACAAUGGUCUGAAAGUCACCAGUCACUUUUGAAAACAUGAUGUGAACAGCAUUAGGUUACUAUGGCUCUAAUGACCACCACCCACCCUUUCCAGGCAAAUUGCUUGUUCCCCUCUCAUCUUCUGGCUGGCCUUCAUCCCACGUGACACCAUGCAUUCGUGACAGAAGUAAGCCCACCAAAACCUAAAGUGCCACCACAAGUUGGUCUCAUCCACCAGCAAGCAGCUUUGGGCUGAGCUGGCAUUCUCUCUUUCUUUAAAGCCUCUCUCCUGCUAUGAGUAGGUUUUUUUCAGAGGCUCAGCCAGAUUGCUUUAAUGAAAAUAGGCAUGAAAGCAUUUGCCCUACCUACAUUAUGUUUUGUAACCUAACAAUUUAAUUGCAUCAUGUUUUUUCCAACAAAUCAUCUGAUGAUGAUUCCCAGGACAAGCCUUUACCUCUUUACUUCAGCUGUUACCACAUCCUGCUUGUAGAUAACCACUAAAUCACGAGGGGAUUGGUCACUAGAUAAAUCAGAGCUCUUUUUUGAUGGGUUUCUAACCUGGGAAAUAGGACACCUGAAUGAGAAACAGAAACUGUAACCACAUCAGAACUCUGCAGUCCAUGCCUACAGACUGUCCAGAAGGAACAGGCAAGGACAGACAGCGGGGCGUUUGCCCUACAGGUGAAAAAAAUAGAUUGAAUGCACAGAACUGUCUUUGAAAACCAGUGAUCAAGAGGUUGAGGGCUUAAAAGUAAAAUCUAGGGGCAAGUCAACAAAGGAAAACUCAUGUAUGGUCUUCCUGCAGAGCACCAGAGCAAGGGAAGCUGCUGAUGAAGUUUUCUUACUUUGACUACAGGAAACACUAUGCCCCCAUGCUCUGAUCCUGCUGGGGCACUCCUUGAUAUCUCUUGGAAAAGCAGCACAUAAGCUGUAAGCAAUCCGGGAGACUCCUGGAGGGUGUUGAGGAUGAUUUUGUAAUCCAGGUGACAAACAGCGUGACCAGAGGAGAAGCAUGAGCAGUCCUGUUGUUUAUCAACAGGGAUGAACCAUUAGAGAUGAUAAAACUGGUGAUAGCUCAGACUGCAACCAUCCUGCCCUGGUGGAAUUAAGUCUUGAACACCUCUCCUGUGAAGAAAGGCUGAGAGAGCUGGGGUUCUUCAGCCUGGAGAAGAGAAGGCUUCAGAGAGACCUUAUUGCUGUCCUUUAGUUUAAAAGAAAUACGGACAAAGACUUUUUACUGAGGCCUGUAGUGAUGAGAGAAAGGGUAGUGGCUUUGAAUCAAAAGAGGGUGGACUUAAAUUGAAUAUACAGAGGAUUUUUUUUUUUAUUAGAAUGGUCAUGAGAAGUUGUAGAUACCCCAUGAUGGAAGUGUUUGAAGUCAAGAAAGAUGGGGCUUUGAGCAAACUCAUGUGGAGGAAAGUUCCCUGCCUAUGGCAGGGGCUUUCACUGGAUCAUCUUUAAAGGUUCCUCCCAACCCAAGUAAUUCUAUGGUUCUAUGAUAAGCUGUAAAGAAUUUAGAUUUUGUGAUUUACUUCCAUGAUGAAUGGAAAUUUUUUAAAAAUGGGGACUAUUUUUCCUUCACUACUAAAUUUUUUAUAAGAUUAUAAUGUUUGAUUAUAAGAUUAUAUUUGUUUUGAUGGUGAUUAGAGUAUAAACCAAUAAAAACCAAGAAAAUCCCAUAAUGGACCUGCACUGUGGAUCCUCCUUAGCUAUACACGUGCUCAUGCCCAGAAAUACUAACUUUUCCAUAAAAAUGGACACACACACACAGAGCAUUUAUUAAGCCCCAACAGAAAAGUGGUUUUAUACCUGAGAAGGAAACUUUCAAAUACAUAGCCUAUAAAUAGAUUAUAUGCUGCCUUUCUGGUUCAAUAAAUAGCCUGAAAAAGUGCUCUCAGGAGACAUGAAUUUGCAGUGUCCCCCCUUUAUUUCACUGAGAGGUAAAUUCUGCUCUCUUAAUUUAAUACUUUGUUGUCAGUAUGAAAAUUGCCAUCACAAGGGAAGCAAUUGCACUUUCUGCAUUUCUUUAGGGAUCAGGAAAUAAAUUUUUACAGAAAAAAAAAAACAACCAGUCCCAUAUCUCCUCAUGUACAGAAAGAAGCACCAGGUUACUUGACAUGAAAAACAUUGGGAACUUGUGCAAUGGCCAGUACACAAACCACCAACAAGCCUAGACAAGUUGGAUAUGACAAAAUAGAAAGCCACACUGGAUGUAUCCUGCAGACACUGCUGCCCCUGGAACUCGGACACUGUGCUUGGAGCAGCCAGCAAGAAACUGGCUCAAGAGUAUCUCACAGAGAUGAAUUCAAAUAAAACUUUUCCAGCCUUCAAUGGUACACUUGUUUCUGGUUCUUGAGUAGUUUAAUUCCCAGUCACUUUUGUGUUAAUAGUAAAUUUGAAUGUGCAAAACAAAGCAUGUGGCUCCAUGACCCACUGGCAGAGCCCAUUCCAUCAGACCCCUCAUUCCAGAGGCACCUCCAUGUGAGAAACAAUUUUGCAGCUUUUCCAGCCAUUGCUGGAGGUAAGACAACCUCCUCCCUGUGUAAUAAACAGAUUUUUCUUGCUGUCUUUCCCCCACCCUGCACACCACAGAAAGAAGUAUGGCCCAGCAGAAGUAUUUUCAAGCACAAACAUGCACAGAAGGACUUAAUGCUUUGUUUUGCUAUACCCAGCCCCCAUAAAUUUAUGCUCAUGUAAUUACUGCUCUCUGCCUACUGAUAGUGAGCUAAAAAUACCACACACACCCCAAAUUAGAACUGGUUUCUAUUUUUUGUUAAAUUCCUGCAGUUGAUAUAGAAGAAAAUGUUGUGAUGAGCCACAUGAGAUCCCUCUUGCCUGCACUAGUCAGGACAGGAGACUGCAACACUACCAACAGAAAAACCCCACCAAAAGCAUGGCAUGCACAGACCAGGACAAAUUUGACUGUGUUAUGAUACCAUCAGUCCUGUAUCCCUUUUCCUUUCUUCAUCUGAUGCUUAGUGUUUCUACAGUGGGAAUGGAUUUGAGCCGGGAUCUUUUCUGUCAGAGCCUGCAUUUAAAAGGAAUAUAAAAUCUUUCUGCAAUAUCCAGAUUCCUAGUUUAUAUUCCAAGGUGUUCCUAAUUUAGAAUAAACAUAAAAUAUUUCUGUUAUUUAGAUAAAAUGUAAAAUGAUAUGCAAGCCAUUUCUGUUCUAUCCAAAUUCCUACUUUAUACUCUGAGGUGUCUCUCACUUACAUAGAACUACUUACAAUUGAUGAAACACUUAUUUUUGAAGCCUUUGAAAGAACAUAAAAUUAAUCUAAUAUUAAAUAAACAACAACAGAUUUCCAACUUAUAUUCAGUUUGCAAAAUCUUUGUCAUAUGAGCCAUCUCUAUUACAUACAAGUAUCAUAUUUGCCAUUUAAGCUUCGGAGUCUCUAUUUCUAAAAGCUUUGUGGAAGGAACUGUCUGGAAAUCCCAUAAGGUCAACCCCUUCCCAAGCACAACUAAUGAGACUGAGUUUCCCAGAGUCUGUUUGAGGUGGGGAAAUCAGGACAUGCAUACAAGUUUCCCUGUCACUUCUGAUAGGCUUAUCUGAGAAAAUAACAUUGCACAAAAACCCACCCUGAGCUGUUAAUGUAUUUUGAUUUUUGCAUCAAUAACACAGAGAAAUAGCUUAUAUGGGAGACUAGGCAAAGCUUCAGCUGGCAGCCACUGGAGACAGAAACUGCACUAAGAAAAGAGAACUAAUCUAGAGCUGCAUUCUUGUCAAUAUCCUCUCACACUUUUGCAGCAGCAGAGACAAUACCAAAUGCAAACAUGCCCCUGCCCACUGCACAGGCCUGGAUCAUCACAGAGAGGCUGGGAUAAGCAGAUGAACAUUUGGCUAAGGACCAAGGAACAGAUUUUUCUGGGUUUUUUUAGAUAUUGAAAAGCCAAGACACAAUCAAGGUCCCAGAAGGAUUUCCAAAAGCGAUUAGGAGCCCAAGUUCUCUGAGUCCAUUGGUCCUUCUGAAAAUCCUGUAUAGUAACAAAUGAACUGUAUCACUGAACAUCAAAAUAUCUCUUUGCUUGUGCUGCUUCUGCUAGGGACCUUGAUUUCAGAAGGGCAAAGUCAUUAUUCUGAAAAGGUUAGAAAUUUCUUCCCCUUCUUUAGUUCACCUACCUUCUCCCAGAACGGGAAAGCUUUUCCUCUUUUUGCUUAAUAAAAUUAUUAUUGCUCUAUGAAGUAUUUUAACUGAAAUUGUAAUAUCAGCACUCAAUCCCCUGGCUCUGGCUACCCAGAUCUUUGCUUUAUAGAGAACAACUUGCUUUCAUUUGACUGAGGUUUACCUAGCACAGAUUGCAUUACAAUGCCUCUGAUAGUGCAGAGUUGCAGGGUCUUUUUUUUGGGUAGAAAAUCCUCUUGGAUUGGGAAGCCACGCAAAGGUUGCAGUGUCCAUUCUGGUGCUGUCAGAUAGUGGUGGGCUACACUGCCCUCUCUAUUUACACAUCUCUACUGACAGGAAUUGUGCUGUCCAUGUGGGACCUUGGGACUGUAGUUCAUACACACUUUGUCCUCAGAAAUGUGAUACCAAUCUAUUGCACAAAGACUGCAAAAGAACUGCACUGAUUUUUUUUUUCUUUAAAGAAGAAAGUGUUCCCUCAGUGUGAUAGAUACUGAACAUGACUUUUGCUCAGACUGCAAAUAGCAAAUUACUUAAUCAUCAACUAUUUAAGUACCUGUUUGUUUUGUCAUGAAGUGAAACUUGCGAGCAAGAUCCUAUUACACGUAAAGUGGUUUCUUGCAUCCUUAAAUAUAAAUCCUCAAGUAAAAACAAAUUAAAGAUACUCCCAAGGUCACUUUAGUAAGUCUGAGCUGAGGCAUCCCACUCUCUCGUAUCCCACAUUAAAUGUUCUUUGCCUUGUCUUUGUGCCAACACCAACAUUUUUGUAGCCUCUGAAUGACCUUGGCAGAAGGAUGGGGAUGGGGAUGUAAGCUGGAAGGGAGCCGGUCCUGGGGGGCAUAGGAGCCAUUAGCAACCACUGGCAGCAGGAACAGGGCUGGAAAGUACAGCAAGCCCUGCAAGGGAGAGGGUUUGCUAAGGACCUGUGGUCUUAAGCCGGAGAUGAUGGGAAGUGUUAAG